Molecule: transfer RNA, 85 nt
Filed under: Felis catus (domestic cat)
Lineage: Eukaryota; Metazoa; Chordata; Mammalia; Carnivora; Felidae
Rfam family: tRNA
About the family: Transfer RNA (tRNA) molecules are approximately 80 nucleotides in length. Their secondary structure includes four short double-helical elements and three loops (D, anti-codon, and T loops). Further hydrogen bonds mediate the characteristic L-shaped molecular structure. tRNAs have two regions of fundamental functional importance: the anti-codon, which is responsible for specific mRNA codon recognition, and the 3' end, to which the tRNAs corresponding amino acid is attached (by aminoacyl-tRNA synthetases). tRNAs cope with the degeneracy of the genetic code in two manners: having more than one tRNA (with a specific anti-codon) for a particular amino acid; and 'wobble' base-pairing, i.e. permitting non-standard base-pairing at the 3rd anti-codon position.
Source: Rfam by way of RNAcentral
GCCUGGGUGGCUCAGUCGGUUGAGCGUCCGACUUGGGCUCAGGUCGUGAUCUCAUGGUCCGUGAGUUCGAGCCCCACAUCGGGCU